CCUACGGGAGGCAGCAGUGAGGAAUAUUGGUCAAUGGACGAGAGUCUGAACCAGCCAAGUAGCGUGAAGGAUGACUGCCCUAUGGGUUGUAAACUUCUUUUAUAAGGGAAUAAAGCGCGGCACGUGUGCCGUUUUGCAUGUACCUUAUGAAUAAGGAUCGGCUAACUCCGUGCCAGCAGCCGCGGUAAUACGGAGGAUCCGAGCGUUAUCCGGAUUUAUUGGGUUUAAAGGGAGCGUAGGUGGGUGGUUAAGUCAGUUGUGAAAGUUUGCGGCUCAACCGUAAAAGUGCAAUUGAUACUGGCAGUCUUGAGUACAGUUGAGGUAGGCGGAAUUCGUGGUGUAGCGGUGAAAUGCUUAGAUAUCACGAAGAACCCCGAUUGCGAAGGCAGCUUACUAAACUGUGACUGACACUGAUGCUCGAAAGUGUGGGUAUCAAACAGGAUUAGAUACCCGUGUAGUC
Molecule: ribosomal RNA, 460 nt
Filed under: uncultured bacterium
Lineage: Bacteria
Description: partial 16S ribosomal RNA
Rfam family: Bacterial small subunit ribosomal RNA
Source: RNAcentral